UUAUUUUAAAGCUACGGUUAUUGACAUCUGUUUUUUUUUUUUUUUUGGUAAUCAACUGUUUGCAGACAGAAAUUGCCAGAUUAUAGUUCCCACUUUGAAAGCAAAAAGAAAUUUGAAUACACAAAGAAAGAAAAAGGAAACAGAAUAAACAAUCACCUUCACGUGUAAAUGAAAUAUAAAUUCUCUUCGGGAAAUGAAGAACAGAUAGAUCCUUAUUUUGACAUGAGAAAAAGAAAAACUAUGAUGUAUUCUUUAUAAGAAUAAUUAUAUUACAUAUAAAAUUCUCAAAUGAGAAUUACAAUAAAUUUCUGACAAUGUUAGAAUCGAGAAAUUAAAGAGAUGAAGAAAAUGAAACAAAUACAAAAACAAGAACAAAAAAUAUGUAACAAGAUGCAUAUGGAUCCAACAAAAAAGAUUAUAAUAUAAUCUCAUCAACAUAUAUAGUAUAAUAUAAUCUCCAUAAUUAAUUAUAAUUAUUUCUUGGUAACCUGUUCUUGUUAUAUUUAACCUUGAACCAAUUAGCACUAGCACUGGCUCCUUCUUUAACUUUCCUCAUUCCUACAGAAGCUGCUAUUUUUGUUUUCUCCAUUCCUACUUCAAAUUUCUCACUUACCCUACGAGAAAGUUUCGGUUUAUUGCCGAGUCGUUUUGGAUCAGCAGGCUGAGGAUUUUUAGUUUUGGUAUUUGAUUCCCAUGCACUUUCAAGACUCAUUGUUUUGAAUAUAUUAUGAAUUUUUUCACAUUUUUUUUUCCUUCAAAGGAGAAGGGGUGGGGAAGGAAGAAAAUUCUUGUUGGGAAUAGUUUUUUUCCUUUGAUUAAUUUGUUGGUGAAGAAGUUGAGAUCUCUUUUUAUAUGGACAAAUGGAUGGCUUAUGUUAUGGUUGUUUGGUUGAAUGUACACUCCUCAAAUUGAUGUUUCUUCUCAUUGAAGAAAAAAAAAAGGAUGAUUUUUGUGUGAUUUUCA
RNAcentral lists this long non-coding RNA (963 nucleotides) under Nicotiana benthamiana. RNAcentral's name for it is "long non-coding RNA (NBEN_LNC019464)". Lineage: Eukaryota; Viridiplantae; Streptophyta; Magnoliopsida; Solanales; Solanaceae. The record is from RNAcentral.